Molecule: long non-coding RNA, 879 nt
Organism: Alosa sapidissima (American shad)
Lineage: Eukaryota; Metazoa; Chordata; Actinopteri; Clupeiformes; Clupeidae
Exons: 3
Source: RefSeq, a predicted model, not a curated record
GCUCAUUCGUACAGCAUAGGAACAAUGGACUACACAUGUUUGAGUGUAUUAUCACACCAACCAUCAGCUUCAGAUCGCAGAUCACUGACCUCUUUGUGCUCCUACAUGGUGACGAAUGGCGGCAUGAUUAAGUGUUGAUGAAUGGAGACUGAAUUCUGUGCCUCCCUGCAUUUCCCCACCCAUCCUCUGGAGAAUGUGUCAGCUGUAGCCAGUUGUUCCUCGUCGCUGCUGAGCAGGUCAGUCUGAGGACCACCCUGCCCUGUAAUUUGUAAUCAGCUGGAGGAGCCGCUCCCCUCAUCGGCCAGGGCUCAUGGCAACAGGACAGCAAGUGGACGCUGCUCAGCUAAAGGUCCAUGAGCCUCCACAACAGCCCUGGAGGUGAGAAGAGGUUUCCACACAAGUUCAGCAGAACAUUAACACACAAAUUAACAGAGCUGUGACCAACAGGGAUGAAGAUCCAUGUGGAGUGGCGUGUGAGUCCGGGGAGGGUCCUGCCUCAGCUCUCCUCUUUGUAAUGGCCCCUCAUCAGUGGACCAUUUCUCUGCAUUAUUCAGAGCCAAACAGCCUAGGUCUCUCUCUCUCCCUCUCUCUUUCUUUCUUUCUUUCUCUCUCUCUCACUCUCUCUCACUCUCUCUACAUGCCCACCACUAAAAAAAAAAAACACUUCUGCACCUCGCAUUGAAGCUCCACUUUGCUGAACACAAAGACAAAGGACCUGGCACACAUGUGUGUCUCCCAAGUCCCUUCCAGUAUUAAAUAUUAAUCUCGGCAUAAUUUCUGCUGCUCCCAAAGAGGAGCGGAGAGCAGCCUCGUGGCCAUCAGUGAGUUAUGUGCUUGUCCCAGUGGCAAGACGUUUGUCAAAAUCAAUUCUUAGUCAGG